This 253-nucleotide ribosomal RNA is filed under the name uncultured bacterium. RNAcentral describes it as "partial 16S ribosomal RNA". It matches the Rfam family "Bacterial small subunit ribosomal RNA", at positions 524 to 776 of the family's 1533-position model. The record is from RNAcentral.
UACGUAGGGGGCAAGCGUUAUCCGGAUUUACUGGGUGUAAAGGGAGCGUAGACGGCAGCGCAAGUCUGGAGUGAAAUCCCAUGGCUUAACCAUGGAACUGCUUUGGAAACUGUGCAGCUGGAGUGCAGGAGAGGUAAGCGGAAUUCCUAGUGUAGCGGUGAAAUGCGUAGAUAUUAGGAGGAACCCCAGUGGCGAAGGCGGCUUACUGGACUGUAACUGACGUUGAGGCUCGAAAGCGUGGGGAGCAAACAGG